GGUUCAGGAUGAACGCUAGCGACAGGCCUAACACAUGCAAGUCGAGGGGCAGCACAAGGAGCAAUCUGAGGUGGCGACCGGCGCACGGGUGAGUAACACGUAUGCAACCUGCCUGUAAGCGGGGAAUAACCCGUUGAAAGACGGACUAAUACCGCAUAAUACUAAAUUACUGCAUGGUAAUUUAUUUAAACAUUUAUGGCUUACAGAUGGGCAUGCGCAUGAUUAGCUAGUUGGAGAGGUAACGGCUCCCCAAGGCAACGAUCAUUAGGGGUUCUGAGAGGAAGGUCCCCCACACUGGUACUGAGACACGGACCAGACUCCUACGGGAGGCAGCAGUGAGGAAUAUUGGUCAAUGGACGAGAGUCUGAACCAGCCAAGUCGCGUGCAGGAAGAAUGUCCCUAUGGAUUGUAAACUGCUUUUGCAGGGGAAUAAAGUGCAUCACGUGUGAUGUUUUGUAUGUACUCUGCGAAUAAGGAUCGGCUAACUCCGUGCCAGCAGCCGC
This 503-nucleotide ribosomal RNA is filed under the name uncultured bacterium. Its description in RNAcentral is "bacterial SSU rRNA". It matches the Rfam family "Bacterial small subunit ribosomal RNA", at positions 21 to 518 of the family's 1533-position model. The record is from RNAcentral.